RNAcentral lists this ribosomal RNA (489 nucleotides) under uncultured bacterium. RNAcentral describes it as "partial 16S ribosomal RNA". It matches the Rfam family "Bacterial small subunit ribosomal RNA", at positions 28 to 507 of the family's 1533-position model. The record is from RNAcentral.
GACGAACGCUGGCGGCGUGCUUAACACAUGCAAGUCGAACGGUGAAGGGACCAGCUUGCUGGUUCUGGAUGAGUGGCGAACGGGUGAGUAACACGUGAGUAACCUGCCCCCUUCUUCUGGAUAACCGCAUGAAAGUGCGGCUAAUACGGGAUAUUCUGGGUCUGUCGCAUGGCGGGCCCGGGAAAGAUAUUGCUUCGGUGGGGGAUGGGCUCGCGGCCUAUCAGCUUGUUGGUGGGGUGAUGGCCUACCAAGGCGGUGACGGGUAGCCGGCCUGAGGUGGUGGACGGUCGCACUGGGACUGCGACACUGCCCAGACUCCUACGGGAGGCAGCAGUGGGGAGUAAUGCACAAUGGGCGCAAGCCUGAUGCAGCGACGCCGCGUGAGGGAUGGAGGCCUUCGGGUUGUAAACCUCUUUCGCCAGUGAAGCAGGCCUGCUCCUUGUGGGUGGGUUGACGGUAGCUGGAUAAGAAGCGCCGGCUAACUACGUG